AAUAACCAAAUUUGGUGGUUUCACAAGUGCAAUACCCCUUUGGGUGUUGUGUGUAGUAGUUUUUAUUUCCGCUCUGACAAGGAUGAGGUGCUGCCUUCAAGCUCUUCUUAUUUUGUAAAGUUUUCUUUGAGGUUAAAUCACGCUUGUCAUUUGGAUUUGCUCAUUAUUCUCGUGCGGUUUUUCACUAAGGAUUAAUGGAACACAAACUGUGAAUAGGAAUGAAGAGGAGAUCAACAUAGGAAUGGGACUUAGUAUCAAGAAAUGGACUUAUAGUUGAUUAUCUACUUUGUACAAUGUGUUUUAUGUAUUUGUUUCAUUUGAAUUAUUUGUUAUGUGAAACCUUUAACAUGGAACUAAUGAAUAUUUAACAAUUUAAUA
This is a long non-coding RNA of Helianthus annuus (common sunflower), 378 nucleotides long. RefSeq lists it as uncharacterized. The transcript has 3 exons. NCBI's taxonomy places the organism in Eukaryota, Viridiplantae, Streptophyta, Magnoliopsida, Asterales, Asteraceae. The record is from RefSeq and is a predicted model, not a curated record.